RNAcentral lists this ribosomal RNA (221 nucleotides) under uncultured bacterium. Its description in RNAcentral is "partial 16S ribosomal RNA". It matches the Rfam family "Bacterial small subunit ribosomal RNA", at positions 96 to 334 of the family's 1533-position model. The record is from RNAcentral.
UGGCGCACGGGUGAGUAACGCGUGGGAAUAUGCCCUUCACUACGGAACAACGUCGGGAAACUGACGCUAAUACCGUAUAAUGUCUAUGGACCAAAGAUUUAUCGGUGAAGGAUUAGCCCGCGUAAGAUUAGGUAGUUGGUGAGGUAAUGGCUCACCAAGCCUACGAUCUUUAGCUGGUCUGAGAGGAUGAUCAGCCACACUGGGACUGAGACACGGCCCAG